Long non-coding RNA from Herpailurus yagouaroundi (jaguarundi), 676 nucleotides. RefSeq lists it as uncharacterized. The record is from RefSeq and is a predicted model, not a curated record. The transcript is spliced from 3 exons. NCBI's taxonomy places the organism in Eukaryota, Metazoa, Chordata, Mammalia, Carnivora, Felidae.
GACAGAACUGGCGAGGUUGGGGGGCAGUAGUGGGUGAGUGGGAAGGAGUAAUUUUCAGAUCAGCCUCCUUUAAAGGGCACAUGAGCCCAGACUGGAGAGGCCAACUGUGUGAACACUUGGCAGAAAGGAAUUUUGGGCAAAGGGAGGCCACAAGAGUGCCCAGAGGAGCAGCAGGUGGGCCCUGAGUUCCAAGCAGAGGAGUGAGGGGCCACAGAGAUUUCCUUGAGGAAAGGGCUGUGCCGGCUUAGGGCGGUUGGACGACGGCUGUUUUGCCUCCAGCCAGCUCUUUAUUUCCUCCAGCUGUCGACCACCAUGUUCUCACAGAUGUAUGUUCUUUGUUUGUUUUCCAUCGACUUGGAGGAAGUGGAAUUCCAGGGUCCAAAACACAGGAGUCUGCAAGGGUCACAGAAAUCUGGACGUGCAUGUGGAAGGCUUCUCCCGUCCUUGAGGAUUAGACAACAGAGGUCCAGCAAGGCUGGAACUCAGCUGAGACCCCAUCGAUGAGUAUCAGCAGCAGGGCUGGGCCUCUCACUGAUAGGGGGUCGGCCCAGGCUGAUAGGCUGGGCCUUUGGGGCACAGUGAAGGUAGUAGCCAGGGGACAAAACACAAAGGGCAGGUGGCCUUCAUGGUGAUCCAUUCAAUCCAAGGUAUGUGGGUGGCAAUAAAAAGAAGAAAA